Pongo pygmaeus (Bornean orangutan) is the source of this 493-nucleotide long non-coding RNA. RefSeq lists it as uncharacterized. NCBI's taxonomy places the organism in Eukaryota, Metazoa, Chordata, Mammalia, Primates, Hominidae. The transcript is spliced from 2 exons. The record is from RefSeq and is a predicted model, not a curated record.
GCAGCACAGAGAGAAUGAUGCCUGACCCAAGACUUGAAAGAUGAGGAAAAGAUCACCAGGUGGAAAAGAUGGCAAGGGAAGGAGUUGGAACCAGAGGAGAGUCUGAACCAAGGCAUGCCUGGGAAUUACCAGCUCAUGAAAGAAUAACACCCGGUGAAUUACCUACCCUGUGUUCUCCAGGUGCGCACGGGCGAAACCCCAGGGUACAACAAAUAGCACAGGGAAGGCUGGGGAGAAAACACAGGCAAAUGUAAUUAGGAGUUGGUUGGCCAAACCUGCCUGCCUCCCACCACAGCGGAUGAGGCUAACCACAGGUGGUUACAACAUCAAACCUAACAUCAUGGAGUUGUGGACUGUGAGAGCGGGAGAGAAACAGGGUGGCACAGGGCCCAUCCAUUGUUUUACCAACCAAGAAACCAGGGCCCAGAGGGGGAAAGCGACUUGAUGCUUGUCACAAAGCAACUGAGAAUAAAUUCAAGGAUAUUAACCCGAA